Molecule: long non-coding RNA, 2094 nt
Organism: Pantherophis guttatus
Lineage: Eukaryota; Metazoa; Chordata; Lepidosauria; Squamata; Colubridae
Source: RefSeq, a predicted model, not a curated record
ACAUUUGUCGACAGGAGUGUGGAAAAAAGAGUGAGCGAGACAAUCUGAGCACCCUAAGUGUGUCAUAAAGUACAUGCGGGAAACUCUUAGAUGCCAUAUAUGAUAGUCCAGAUUUAUGUAUACAGUUCUGGUUGCUCGACUUUAAUCCGGAAUGUGUGAUGUAUAUCACACUGCUUCUCCCCUGCUCCCACCAGUAUUGGGAUCACUACCAAACGCCUCUCACAUCCUAGUAAAAUAGCAAUAACACUUAUAUACUGCUUCAUAGUGCUUUACAGCCCUCUCUAAGCGGUUUACAGAUUCAGCAUAUUGCCCCCAACAAUCUGGGUCCUCAUUUUACCCACCUUGGAAGGAUGGAAGGCUGAGUCAACCUUGGGGAAAAAAGCAAGUGUUUUGACGGUCUCCCAUAUCAAAAUGCAGGGGAGGCCCUGCUUGGAGUUGGCUACCCAACUAUGGGGUGUCAGUUUUCUGUUUUUAUGAUAGGCUCCAAGGAAAAGGGUGUUGUUGCUGCAUUGAUGUAAUCAUGGAUUUGAUGGUACGAAUCAGAAGUAUUGGCAAUCUUGUUUGGGGGUAACUUACAAUGAAUGCAUUACAGCUCAUUCGUCAAAAAAAUGAAUCUGGAAUUAGACUGAGCAAUGGGACCCCACAUUGCAUUUGUUGUUACACAUUUGUUACACUUAUCUUAUUUCUCCUAUCAGGAAUAUGCACCGUUCAUAUUAUUUAUCUGUCAAUCAUGUGUGGCAUAUAAAAAUAAGGUGGGGGGUUCUUCUCAAAAUUCUAGGAUCAGGGCCUACCCAAUAAAAUUCACUGGAGAAUUAAAAUAGAGAAAAGGAAGCCCAUAUCCCUAUGUAUAAUCAACCUGUGGAAUUUAUCAGCACAAACUCUGGGAAUGAUCUCUACUGUAUCAUGGAUGGUCUUAAAAGGAGCUGCUGAAGGUAUUAACGGAGGACAGGUAACACUGGAUUUCUACAACAAAUUAUUCAUGCUUUUUUAAACAAGAGGGGCUGCCGCAAAGAAGAGGAGAUCAACUUAUUUUCCAAAGCACCAGAAGGCAAGACAAGAAACAAUGGACAGAAACUAAUCAAAGAGAGAAGUAAUCUGUAAUUACGGAGAAACUUCCGAACAGUGAGAACAAUUAACCAGUGGAACAGCUUGCCUUCAGAAGUUGUAGAUGCUUCACUUGGAGACUUUUAAGAAGAGACUGGACAGCCACUUGUCUGAAAUGGCAUAGGGUUUCCUACUUGAGCAAGGGUUGGACUGGAAGACCUCUAAAGUCCCUUCCAGAUCUAUUCUGAUUUCAGGUUAAGAUGCACCAAUGUUUCUUUUUCUGCUCAGCAGUAGCCAGAGAGAAGGUCAAAAUCAAAAGAUUCCCCACUUAUGGACAAUUCUGUUAACCCUCUGAACUUAUCUACCAAUACAUGUCUAAGAAAGCUCCUCCCUCAAAGAGGUUUUUUGAAGAAAAGAUGGGCAGCUAAGAGGAAGGAGAUGGGAUGGAAAUCUGUUAUUAAACCACCUUAGAAAUUUCAGGUUCAGUCUAUUAAAUGGAUACAGUCAAAACUAAUGCCUUUACUUGGAAACAAGUUUCCAAGAAACAGGGAAUUACUUUGAGGAUAAUACUUUCAUAGAGUUAUCAAGAAGUUCGAAGUAAACAUGCAAUUAUUUUGCUUGUACUGGCUUGCUUCCCACAGCUCUUGGGUAAGUAGUUGCAACUAUUUCUUUUUCUUUUAAGAGUAACUUUAAUAAAGAUAAUUAUAGCAAUAAAAACUAAUGCACACUGAACAAGAUUGAAGAACAAAAGUGCAGAAAAGAAAAAAUAAAGAGAAAAGAAUUUUAAAAAGUAUAGUGACUUUUAAAGAGGUGACUUCCCAUCUUCAUCACAAGUAUAAAAAAUGUUGUAGCUUAUCACCUUACUCCUAACAAUCAAAUAAUGUCAUAGAACUUGAUUUCUUUUCAUUUUUUCAUUGUUCCUUCUCACAACAUUCUUCAAGCUAUAACAAGCUUUUUUGGUAAAUCCAGUAUAGGAAAAAUAUCCAGAUUAUUAUUUUAGCUCAUGGUUUGUAUAGCUCUUUUAAUUAUUAAAACAUCAUUUGGUUUCUU